AGGCAGCAGUUAGGAAUAUUGCGCAAUGGGCGGAAGCCUGACGCAGCGACGCCGCGUGGGGGAUGACGGCCUUCGGGUUGUAAACCUCUUUCGCCAUCGACGAAGGCCUUCGGGUUGACGGUAGGUGGAGAAGAAGCACCGGCCAACUACGUGCCAGCAGCCGCGGUAAUACGUAGGGUGCGAGCGUUGUCCGGAAUUAUUGGGCGUAAAGAGCUCGUAGGCGGUGUGUCACGUCGGCCGUGAAAACUUGGGGCUUAACCCUGAGCUUGCGGUCGAUACGGGCAUCACUUGAGUUCGGCAGGGGAGACUGGAAUUCCUGGUGUAGCGGUGAAAUGCGCAGAUAUCAGGAGGAACACCGGUGGCGAAGGCGGGUCUCUGGGCAACAACUGACGCUGAGGAGCGAAAGCGUGGGGAGCGAACAGGAUUAGAUACCCGAGUAGUCC
This 443-nucleotide ribosomal RNA is filed under the name uncultured bacterium. RNAcentral describes it as "bacterial SSU rRNA". It matches the Rfam family "Bacterial small subunit ribosomal RNA", at positions 346 to 796 of the family's 1533-position model. The record is from RNAcentral.